Molecule: non-coding RNA, 761 nt
Filed under: Phyllocnistis citrella
Lineage: Eukaryota; Metazoa; Arthropoda; Insecta; Lepidoptera; Gracillariidae
Source: RNAcentral
AUAUUUAUGGUUUAAAAAAUUUAUAUAAAAAUUAUUUUACAUAUAAAUUUUAGUAUUAUAUAUAAUAUAUUUUAAUAAUAAUUAUAUAAGUAGUAAUUAAUAUUAAUAAAUUUAAGAAAUUAAGAUUUAGUAUUUUAAAAAUUAUAAACUAAAUUUGUGCCAGCAGUUGCGGUUAUACAAAUUAUGAAUUGAAUUCUUUUAGUUAUUAAUAAUUAAAUAAUAAAGUUUAAAUUAAAAAAUAAAUUAUUAAGUGAAAUUUUAAUUUAAAAAUAAUUUAUUUUAAAGAAUUAAUAAAUUUUUUUAAUAAACUAGGAUUAGAUACCCUAUUAUUCAAAAUUUAAAUUAUAAUACUAAAUUAUUAAAUAAUUAUUUAUUGAAAUUUAAAUAAUUUGGCGGUAUUUUAGUUUAUUUAGAGGAAUCUGUUUAUUAAUUGAUAAUCCACGAAUAAAUUUACUUAAAUUAAAAAUUUAUAUAUCGUUGUUAUAAAAAUAUUAUUAAAAUAAAUUAAUAUUUUAAAUUUUUAAAUAAAAUUUAAAUCAGAUCAAGAUGUAGUUUAUAUUUAAGAAUAUAAUGGAUUACAAUAAAAUUAUUUUUGGAUAUUUAAUUGGAAUAUUAAAUUAAAAUUGGAUUUAAAUGUAAUUUUAUUUAAUUUUUUAAAAUGAUUAAAAAUUAAAAUAUGUACAUAUUGCCCGUCACUUUCAUAAACAAAUUGAAAUAAGUCGUAACAAAGUAGAGGUACUGGAAAGUGUUUCUAGAAAGAU